CGGUCUAAGCCAAGUGGCUACUGCGACAGAAUCGAAAUCUGUUUCUCUUCGAAUGUGCAGGUUCGAAACCUGCUGAAUGA
Molecule: non-coding RNA, 80 nt
Organism: Suillus subalutaceus
Lineage: Eukaryota; Fungi; Basidiomycota; Agaricomycetes; Boletales; Suillaceae
Source: the annotation of a RefSeq genome assembly